UCAGCGUGGCUACUGUGCCGCGUGGUGAAUGGCUCGGCUCGAGUGCCGACGAAGGACGUGCCAAGCUGCGAUAAGCCUCGGGGACCCGCACGGAGGGGUGGAACCGAGGAUUUCCGAAUGGGAAUCCCCACAGCAAUUGCUUCGCGCAAUGGGGAACGUCCGGAACUGAAACAUCUUAGUACGGACAGGAAAAGAAACCGAAUGGGAUGUCGUUAGUAACGGCGAGUGAACGCGGCGUAGUCCAAACCGAAGCCUUCGGGCAAUGUGGUGUAUGGGCUGGCCGUAAUCGGUUGAUUGACUACGAGAAGUCUUCUGGAACGGAGCGCGAUACAGGGUGACAGCCCCGUAUCGUAGUCAGUCGACCGUGGGCCGGUUCCCUGAGUAUCGGGGGUCGGAAAUCCCUCGUGAAGAUGGCAGGCAUCUACUGCCAAGACUAAAUACUACUCGAGACCGAUAGUGGACAAGUAGCGUGAGUGAACGCUGAAAAGCACCCUGAGAAAGGAGGUGCAAUAGGGCCUGAAAUCACGCGGUGAUGGAGCGAUGGAGCGUACAAGGCCGAUCGUGAAACGACGUGAGGGCGAUCUCACUGUAGGAAGCGAUCGGAGCCGACGUUCCAUCGUACGUUUUGAAAAACGAGCCAGGGAGUGUGUCUGUAUGACGAGUCUAACCCGUUCAUCGGGGGAGGCGUAGGGAAACCGACAUGGCUGCAGGAUGUGGCUUUGCCACGUUCCAGGGCCGCCGUGUUCAAGCGCGGGGAGUCAUACGGUCACGACCCGAAACCGGGCGAUCUACGCGUAGGCAAGGUGAAGCAUGGCGAAAGCUAUGUGGAGGCCUGUUAGAGUUGGUGUCCUACAAUACCCUCUCGUGAUCUACGUGUAGGGGUGAAAGGCCCAUCGAGCCCGGUAACAGCUGGUUCCGAUCGAAACAUGUCGAAGCAUGACCUCUGCCGAGGUAGUUUGUCGGGUAGAGCGACCGAUUGGGGUGACCGCCUCCGAGAGGAGUCGGCACCCCUGUCGAACUCCGAACUGACAGACGCCAUUGACGCAGGGAGUCCGGUGUGCGGGGUAAGCCUGUGCACCAUGAGGGAGACAACCCAGAGCUGGGUUAAGGUCCCCAAGUGUGGACUAAGUGCAAUUGAAGGUGGUCUCGAGCCAUAGACAGCCGGGAGGUGAGCUUAGAAGCAGCUACCCUCUAAGAAAAGCGUAACAGCUUACCGGCCGAGGUUUGAGGCGCCCAAAAUUAUCGGGGCUCAAGUCCACCACCGAGACCUGGCGGCACGCGUUACAGCGUGAUUCCGUAGAUCGGCGCUCCGGUUGGAUGGAAGCGCGGGGGAGACUUCGUGUGGACCGACCGGUGACGAAAAUCCUGGCCAUAGUAGCAGCGAUAGUCGGGUGACAAUCCCGACGGCCGAACGGACAAGGGUUCCUCAGCAAUGAUCGUCAACUGAGGGUUAGCCGGUCCUAAGUCUCGUCGUAAUUCGAGCGAGACAAAUGGGAAACUGGUUAAUAUUCCAGUGCCGUUGUGCAAUGAACGUCGACGCUUUAGGGUCGUCCGAGCCGGGCCAUCGCCCGGUCGAACCGUCAAAGUUCGUGGAAGCCGUAAUGGCACGAAGCGAACGAACGGCGGGAUAGGGAAACUCGGAUCAACCUAGAGCCCGUGAAAAGACAAGCACAACGUCCGUACCGAGAUCCGACACAGGUGUCCGUGGCUGAAAACGCCAAGGCCUGUCGGGAACAACCGACGUUAGGGAAUUCGGCAAAUUAGUCCCGUAAGUUCGCGAUAAGGGAUGCCUGCCCUGGAAAGGGGCAGGCCGCAGUGACCUAGACGCUCCGACUGUCUAGUAACAACAUAGGUGACCGCAAAUCCGCAAGGACUCGUACGGUCACUGAAUCCUGCCCAGUGCGGGUAUCUGAACACCUAGUACAAUAGGACGAAGGACCCGUCAACGGCGGGGGUAACUAUGACCCUCUUAAGGUAGCGUAGUACCUUGCCGCUUCAGUAGCGGCUUGCAUGAAUGGAUCAACGAGAGCGUCACUGUCCCAACGUUGGGCCCGGUGAACUGUACGUUCCAGUGCGGAGUCUGGAGACCCCCAAGGGGAAGCGAAGACCCUAUAGAGCUUUACUGCAGGCUGUCGCUGGGACAUGGCCGCUGAUGUGCAGCAUAGGUAGGAGUCAUUACCCAGGCGUCCGCUGCUAGCGGACCGCCGAGACAUCAGUGAAAUACUACCCGUCAGUGGCUGUGACCCUCACUCCGGGAGGAAGACACCGAUAGCCAGGCAGUUUGACUGGGGCGGUACGCGCUCGAAACAAUAUCGAGCGCGCCCUAAGACCAUCUCAUCCGGGUCAGGAAUCCGGAGAAGAGCGCAAGAGCAAAAGAUGGUUUGACAGUGUCCUGCCUAACGAGGGACGCUGACGCGAAAGCGUGGUCUAGCGAACCCAUUAGUCCCGCUUGAUGCGGGCAAUGGCUGACAGAAAAGCUACCUUAGGGAUAACAGAGUCGUCACCGGCAAGAGUACAUAUCGACCCGGUGGCUUGCUACCUCGAUGUCGGUUCCCUCCAUCCUGCCCGUGCAGCAUCGGGCAAGGGUGAGGUUGUUCGCCUAUUAAAGGAGGUCGUGAGCUGGGUUUAGACCGUCGUGAGACAGGUCGGCUGCUAUCUAUUGGGGGUGUUUGGUGUCUGAUGUGAACGGCCGUAUAGUACGAGAGGAACUACGGUUGGUCGCCACUAGUGUACCGGUUGUCCGAGAGGGCAUGUGCCGGGCAGCUACGCGACACGGGGUAAGGGCUGAAUGCAUCUAAGCCCGAAACCCACAUAGAAAAGAGACACCGCUGAGACCACUCGUAGAAGACGAGUUCGAUAGACUCGGGGUGUACGCACCGAGGCAACGAGGUGUUCAGCCCGCGAGCACUAACUGGUCGACGCCACUCAUU
This 2930-nucleotide ribosomal RNA is filed under the name Halocatena salina. Its description in RNAcentral is "Archaeal large subunit ribosomal RNA". It matches the Rfam family "Archaeal large subunit ribosomal RNA". The record is from Rfam by way of RNAcentral. Lineage: Archaea; Methanobacteriati; Methanobacteriota; Halobacteria; Halobacteriales; Natronomonadaceae.